RNAcentral lists this ribosomal RNA (485 nucleotides) under uncultured Corynebacterium sp. RNAcentral describes it as "partial 16S ribosomal RNA". The record is from RNAcentral. Lineage: Bacteria; Bacillati; Actinomycetota; Actinomycetes; Mycobacteriales; Corynebacteriaceae.
CACGUAGUUAGCCGGUGCUUCUUAUCUAGGUACCGUCACAAAAAGCUUCGUCCCUAGCGAAAGGAGUUUACAACCCGAAGGCCUUCAUCCCCCACGCGGCGUCGCUGCAUCAGGCUUGCGCCCAUUGUGCAAUAUUCCCCACUGCUGCCUCCCGUAGGAGUCUGGGCCGUAUCUCAGUCCCAAUGUGGCCGUCCACCCUCUCAGGCCGGCUACCCGUCGCCGCCUUGGUAGGCCAUUGCCCCCACAACAAGCUGAUAGGCCGCGAGCUCAUCCUACACCGAAAAAACUUUCCAACCAUCACACUAAAAAUGGCUCCUAUCCGGUAUUAGACCCAGUUUCCCAGGCUUAUCCCGAAGUGCAGGGCAGAUCACCCACGUGUUACUCACCCGUUCGCCACUCGAGUACCCUGCAAGCAGGGCCUUUCCGUCGACUUGCAUGUGUUAAGCACGCCGCCAGCGUUCGUCCUGAGCCAGGAGUCAAACUCU